AGGAAUUCUGGGGUUCGGUUGAAGUUACUUCCAUGUUCUGAUGGUGACCGGGUGUUUCACAGGGGUGAAGGUUUUAAGUAUUUUUACAUGUACAGUUAUGUGUUGGAAGAGUUGAGGGUGAAACUCCUUUUUCAAAUUUUCAAUGUCAGGUGCUUAGGUAGUUAGAUUGUGCAUCAACUCAACUUCACCCCAAUGGCUGGGCGUUUCUUCGUGCUUUUGAGGUUCUGAUGGAGUUUUUGGAGGAGACUCUUUCAGUAGAAUUGUUUUUCUCCCUAUUUCAAGUUAAAGGUGUUUGGAAAGGUGGUUGGGUGAACUUGAAUAGUUCGCCGCGUUUUGCUAUAUUCAAAUUGUAUAAGUCGUCCUUUAAAAAUUUCAAGAAAAUGUAUGUAAAGGUUAGUAAUGCAAAGGGAGAUUUCCCUUUUUAUGUAGAUGAGCAUUUGGGGGAAAAGUUUUUCCUUUGGUGGUGCUCAGAGCCUCAGAAUAUUUUGGGGUCUGAAACCAUAAGUGCAAGGGGUGAAUGUAUAAUUGAGUAUUUAGUUGAGGGUGUUGAUCGGAAAGAGUUAAUUUCUGUGUUUGAUCUGCUACAAUGGGACGAGAAUAGGCAGGCAGUGAUAGAUUAUUUAGGUGAGCUUUUAAAAUACUUGGCUAUGGUUUAGUGUGAUGUUUAUGUUGUUAAUGUUGGUGUUUUGUUUUAGGAGGAAAGUAUCCCGAGGUGUCGGCGUCUACUCUGAGAGCUCGGGUUAAGAGCAAAAAUCUUGAGGAGGGAUCUACUUCAAAAGUAGAAAAGGUUGUUGGUGUUGGCGAGAUUAAUGAGCCUAAGCCAGCAAGAAAGAAGGUUAUUCUAAAGAAGAGGAAAACAAAUGUUGUCGAUCUGUCUGAAUAUUCCAAGGAUGAUAAGGUGAAGUUCCUAUUGAAGAAAUUCAAAGUUUUUUCAAAAAUCAACAGAGAUUGCAUGACGUUGCCGAUCAAAGUGAUGGCUCGUUAUUGUGGGGAAAGGAUUUUCCCUAUAUGGCUAUUGCCGAUGAGGUGUGCCAAACCUCGAUGGAUGUGACGUUGGCGAACGAGGUUGGUGACGUCGCCAUAGAUCAACAUAUGUGAUUGGUUUUCGGCUUGCCAGUUUAGGGCGGAGCUAAGAAAAGAAACAUCGGAGGUUUGCCGAGCUUAAGCAAGACCCGACUUUGAAAGAAGAACUGGAGUUAAAGAAUAGUAAAGUUGUCGAACUAGAGACUAAGUUAUCAGAAACUGAGAAGGAGUUGAAGGUGAUGAACAAAAAUUAUGCCAAAGAGGUGGAAGAUCUGAAGAAGAAAGAGGCCAACCUUCCCAACAUGAGUGCUCAAGUUGUUGAGGUGAUAUCGAAGUUGAAGGAGAUGGAAAAACAGAAGAGAGCGGAGAUUCUUGAUUCAUUUAUAGAAGGGUUUGAGCAAGCUUUGCAACAGGCCAAGUUUCUUGCUCCUGAUGUUGAUUUGUCUCAGAUGGAUCCGGAGAAGAUCAUCCAAGAUGGAGCAAUGGUGGAAUCACCUUUAAGUUUUGGAACAGGAUAUGAACAAUAUAUAUAUUGUGUUCCCAUAUCUUAUAAGAAUUUAAAAUUCAUAUA
Long non-coding RNA from Arachis duranensis, 1594 nucleotides. RefSeq lists it as uncharacterized. The record is from RefSeq and is a predicted model, not a curated record. NCBI's taxonomy places the organism in Eukaryota, Viridiplantae, Streptophyta, Magnoliopsida, Fabales, Fabaceae. The transcript is spliced from 2 exons.